RNAcentral lists this ribosomal RNA (1333 nucleotides) under metagenome. RNAcentral's name for it is "bacterial SSU rRNA". It matches the Rfam family "Bacterial small subunit ribosomal RNA". The record is from RNAcentral.
GAAGAGUUUGAUCCUGGCUCAGAUCGAACGCUGGCGGCAUGGCUAAAGCAUGCAAGUUGAACGCGAACGUUCCUUCGGGAACUAUUAGAGUGGCUAUCAGGUUGUUGGUGGGGUAACGGCCUACCAAGCCUCAGACGGCUAGCGGGUGUGAGAGCAUGACCCGCCGCAUCGGGACUGAGACACUGCCCGGACUCCUACGGGAGGCUGCAGCAACGGAUAUUGGACAAUGAGCGAAAGCUUGAUCCAGCAAUGCCGCGUGCAGGAUGAAGCCCUUCGGGGUGUAAACUGCUGUCAGGGUCUAGCAACACAAUGAGCAGACCCAAAGGAAGGACCGGCUAAGUUCGUGCCAGCAGCCGCGGUAAGACGAACGGUCCAAGCGUUGUUCUGUGUCAUUGGGCUUAAAGCGUGCGUAGGCGGAGGCGUCAGUGUCUUGUGAAAUCCCACGGCUCAACCGUGGAACUGCAGGGCAUACUGCGCCUCUUGAGGCCAGCAGGGGCGGCCGGAACUGUAGGUGUAGCGGUGAAAUGCGUAGAUAUCUACAGGAACGCCGAAGGUGAAGACAGGCCGCUGGGCUGGUUCUGACGCUCAGGCACGAAAGCGUGGGGAUCAAACAGGAUUAGAUACCCUGGUAGUCCACGCCGUAAACGAUGUGCACUAGGUCUGGGAGGUCUGACGCCUUCCGGGCCGAAGUAAAAACAUUAAGUGCACCGCCUGGGGAGUACGGUCGCAAGGCUAAAACUCAAAGGAAUUGACGGGGACUCACACAAGCGGUGGAGCAUGUGGCUUAAUUCGAGUCAACGCGAAGAACCUUAUCCUGGGCUUGACAUGCACGGAUUAACCUCGUGAAAGCGAGGCCACACCCUUGGGUGGAACGUGCACAGGUGCUGUAUGGCUGUCGUCAGCUCGUGCUGUGAAGUGUCGGGUUAAGUCCCUUAACGAGCGAAACCCCUGUCGUUAGUUGCCAGCGAGUCAUGUCGGGGACUCUAACGAGACUGCCGGUGUCAAACCGGAGGAAGGUGGGGAUGACGUCAAGUCCUCAUGGCCUUUAUGCCCAGGGCUGCACACGUGCUACAAUGGCCUGUACAAAGCGACGCGAUGCCGCGAGGCGGAGCAAAUCGCAAAAAACAGGCCCCAGUUCAGAUUGGAGUCUGCAACUCGACUCCAUGAAGGUGGAAUCGCUAGUAAUCGCGCAUCAGCACUGGCGCGGUGAAUACGUUCCUGAGUCUUGUACACACCGCCCGUCAAGUCAUGGAAGCUGGGAGUACCCGAAGUCGGCUCGACUCAGAGCUGCCCACGGUAAACUCGGUGACUGGGACUAAGUCGGAACAAGGUA